GUUUUCUUCAUUCUAAUUCACAUUAUAAUUAUUUAACCUUCAAUUCACAUUAAAAGAUAAAAAAAAUUCAGCUCUCGUUUAGAAUAUUUUGCAACUAAAUUAUAAUCCUUUAGAAUUUGGUGUAAACAAAAAACAAGAGAACCUGCAAGCAGAGUCUAUUUCUAUAAAGCCGAUAGUUUUUUUAUAUCUGAAAAGAAAACUAACACGUAAAAAAAAGGCCGAAAGUAACCCCUAAAUUUCAACAUUAACAUAUUUUUGACAAUUGAAUCAAGAUGCACAAAGUUUAAGCAUUGGUCAGAAUAUAGGGUUCUUUUGUACUUUAACAAUAUCACAAUAACAAUAAAGUGACCUUAAUUUUGGACAAGGUAAAUGGCAUAAAGCCAAUUUUACCAACUUCUUUUGUAUGAAUGGGAUAAACUGACCUUUCAAUUCUCA
RNAcentral lists this long non-coding RNA (435 nucleotides) under Mytilus galloprovincialis (Mediterranean mussel). Lineage: Eukaryota; Metazoa; Mollusca; Bivalvia; Mytilida; Mytilidae. The record is from RNAcentral.